CUGGAGCAGGCGCCGGGCGGGCUUUUGGCUCGCGGCGGCGGCUCGCUCUGCCUCGUGAUAUCACUGCCGGAGCUCAAAUCCCGCUUAGCGUUCCCAUCCUCACGCCGUCUGUCUACGCUGGCGGAGGUGGAAUCUUUCUGCAGCAGGCAGGCAGCUCCCUUGAGUAGGCGAGGUUGGAGGAGACAGGGACAGGGUCGAUGUGAAGACCAGUGUGAGGAACGGAACGAAGGAAGCAGGCCCAGUAUGAAAUUAGUCGCUGCUUAUUACGUGCUGCCUCUCUUUCCUGCUCUGGUCUUUGGCACUAGUUGAUUAUGCAGAUUAUGGUUGCUGUGGUGUGGAAAUGUAUCAGUGCUGCUUUCCUUCAUUGCAAAAACAGGUCAGCUCCAAUUCUUUCCAUUU
RNAcentral lists this long non-coding RNA (399 nucleotides) under Cyanistes caeruleus (blue tit). RNAcentral describes it as "lncRNA (ENSCCEG00000007885.1)". The record is from RNAcentral. Lineage: Eukaryota; Metazoa; Chordata; Aves; Passeriformes; Paridae.